GUUGGCAGUCUGCGGGCUGGCCAGGGGCUUGGUCCCGGGGUUCUGCUUCGCUGGCACAGUGGGGAAGCCGCGCGCAGCCGAGGCGCCGGCCUGGGCGUGGGGCACGCGGCCGAGCCUCAGCGUCUGGGACCCCGACCGGGACAGGCAAGAACCACUGUCUCUGAACAACCUAAGGAAGAGGAACGUGGAAUCUGGAGAAUAGCUGGCUUCCAGGCUGGACCACUGCAGAGCCAAGGCCACAGGGCACACCCUCCUCGUCAUGCGUUCCCAAUACCAUGUGGACGGCUCCCUGGAAAAGGACUGCAGUCUGAACCCACUGGGUCGUGAACAGGUCGAACUAACUGGACUCCGACUUGCAAGCUUGGGGUUGAGGUUUAAUAAAAUCGUCCAUUCCUCCAUGACCCACCCCAUAGAAACCACUGGCUUCAGCAACAGGCACCUGCCAAGCGUCUUCAAAGGCCGCACAGACCUGGGGCGGGAACCCUCCUCGUCAAGCCAGCCUGGCAGCGUAUCACUGGAAGCGGCCGCUGGGCAUGCUAUGAAGAUGGAGUCCGGAUCGAGGGAGCGCUCCGAAACUACAUCCCUCGGGGGAUGCCAAGCAGGGGGAGGAUAAUUAGGAGAUCUUCCGAUGUCACGCCAGUGUCAUUCGCUGCAGAUGACAGGACACAGCGCUGCAGUUUCCUCCCGAAGGCUGGCUCCAUUGCUCCCUCAACAAUGGCAGCAUCACCCACCUGGUGAUCCGACCCAAUGGCCGAGUGGCGCUCAGGACCCUCAGGGACACGGGGUUCAUGCUCCCUCACAGCAUCACCCAGUC
RNAcentral lists this long non-coding RNA (814 nucleotides) under Homo sapiens (human). Its description in RNAcentral is "non-protein coding lnc-TMEM232-6:1". The record is from RNAcentral. Lineage: Eukaryota; Metazoa; Chordata; Mammalia; Primates; Hominidae.